Molecule: ribosomal RNA, 257 nt
Filed under: uncultured bacterium
Lineage: Bacteria
Description: partial 16S ribosomal RNA
Rfam family: Bacterial small subunit ribosomal RNA
Source: RNAcentral
GUCCACGCCCUAAACUAUGAUCACUCGAUGUUGGCGAUACACAGUCAGCGUCUAAGGGAAACCAUUAAGUGAUCCACCUGGGAAGUACGACCGCAAGGUUGAAACUCAAAGGAAUUGACGGGGCCCGCACAAGCGGAGGAGCAUGUGGUUUAAUUCGAUGAUACGCGAGGAACCUUACCUGGGCUUGAAAGUUAGUGACCGCUCCUGAAAGGGAGCCUUCCGCAAGGACACGAAACUAGGUGCUGCAUGGCUGUCGU